This 222-nucleotide microRNA precursor is filed under the name Trypanosoma vivax Y486. The record is from RNAcentral. Lineage: Eukaryota; Euglenozoa; Kinetoplastea; Trypanosomatida; Trypanosomatidae.
GAGAAAGAGAAAGGGUGGGAAAGCGAGGAGAUAAGAAAAACUUCGAAAGAGCUAGAAACAAAUAAAAAGAGUAGUCCCGACGCAAUCAAAAUCUGUGCAUUCACAAUGAAGAGAUAAGAGCGGCACAAAAAAAAGGGAAGAAAACCCGUGAUGUGAUGGGGAGAGUUCCGACAGGUGAGGUAUGCUCCUUUAUCUCUUUCUCUCUCUCUAUCUCUCUCUCUC